UUCUUGGAGAGUUUGAUCCUGGCUCAGGACGAACGCUGGCGGCGUGCCUAAUACAUGCAAGUCGAGCGAAUCAAUAGGAGCUUGCUCCUGUUGGUUAGCGGCGGACGGGUGAGUAACACGUGGGCAACCUGCCUGUAAGACUGGGAUAACUUCGGGAAACCGGAGCUAAUACCGGAUAAUCCUUUUC
Molecule: ribosomal RNA, 187 nt
Filed under: Neobacillus niacini
Lineage: Bacteria; Bacillati; Bacillota; Bacilli; Caryophanales; Bacillaceae
Description: partial 16S ribosomal RNA
Rfam family: Bacterial small subunit ribosomal RNA
Source: RNAcentral